RNAcentral lists this ribosomal RNA (252 nucleotides) under uncultured bacterium. Its description in RNAcentral is "partial 16S ribosomal RNA". It matches the Rfam family "Bacterial small subunit ribosomal RNA", at positions 524 to 776 of the family's 1533-position model. The record is from RNAcentral.
UACGUAGGGUGCAAGCGUUAAUCGGAAUUACUGGGCGUAAAGCGUGCGCAGGCGGUUUUGUAAGACAGGCGUGAAAUCCCCGGGCUCAACCUGGGAAUUGCGCUUGUGACUGCAAAGCUGGAGUGCGGCAGAGGGGGAUGGAAUUCCGCGUGUAGCAGUGAAAUGCGUAGAUAUGCGGAGGAACACCGAUGGCGAAGGCAAUCCCCUGGGCCUGCACUGACGCUCAUGCACGAAAGCGUGGGAGCAAACAGG